Passer domesticus (house sparrow) is the source of this 431-nucleotide long non-coding RNA. RefSeq lists it as uncharacterized. The record is from RefSeq and is a predicted model, not a curated record. Lineage: Eukaryota; Metazoa; Chordata; Aves; Passeriformes; Passeridae. The transcript is spliced from 3 exons.
AGUCAAUAUUCAUUUACUCCAUGCACUAUGGGCAAAGAAUCCUCUCCUGACUCCUGUAACAGAUGACUGCAACAACUUCUAGUGCUAUUGUGAAGGCAGACCUCUCUUUUAUAAGCUGAACACUCCAGUCGUCUUCCCACUCAUUACAUCCUACAUGUUGUCAAUCUUCGUUUCAAGAACUGUCAAUCAGAAAUGCAGUGGAUGAUAUAUGCAGUAUUUUUUAACAACACUAAGUUCUAUUAGUAUAAAUGAUCAAGAUGACAGAAGAAGGAGAAGGAGAAGGAGAAGGAGAAGGAGAAGGAGAAGGAGAAGGAGAAGGAGAAGGAGAAGGAGAAGGAGAAGGAGAAGGAGAAGGAGAAGGAGAAGGAGAAGGAGGAGAAAAAAGAGGAAAGGGUGGCACAGGACUGGAAAUAAAGACAGUAUUAAAUGUG